RNAcentral lists this transfer RNA (69 nucleotides) under Chironomus novosibiricus. RNAcentral's name for it is "tRNA-Asp". The record is from RNAcentral. Lineage: Eukaryota; Metazoa; Arthropoda; Insecta; Diptera; Chironomidae.
AAAAAAUUAGUUAAACCAAAUAACAUUAGUAUGUCAAACUAAAAUUAUCCAAUCUAUAGAUAUUUUUUG